GAUGAACGCUGGCGGCGUGCCUAAUACAUGCAAGUCGAGCGAACAGAUGAGGAGCUUGCUCCUCUGACGUUAGCGGCGGACGGGUGAGUAACACGUGGAUAACCUACCUAUAAGACUGGGAUAACUUCGGGAAACCGGAGCUAAUACCGGAUAAUAUAUUGAACCGCAUGGUUCAAUAGUGAAAGGCGGUUUUGCUGUCACUUAUAGAUGGAUCCGCGCCGCAUUAGCUAGUUGGUAAGGUAACGGCUUACCAAGGCAACGAUGCGUAGCCGACCUGAGAGGGUGAGCGGCCACACUGGAACUGAGACACGGUCCAGACUCCUACGGGAGGCAGCAGUAGGGAAUCUUCCGCAAUGGGCGAAAGCCUGACGGAGCAACGCCGCGUGAGUGAUGAAGGUCUUCGGAUCGUAAAACUCUGUUAUUAGGGAAGAACAAAUGUGUAAGUAACUAUGCACGUCUUGACGGUACCUAAUCAGAAAGCCACGGCUAACUACGUG
RNAcentral lists this ribosomal RNA (497 nucleotides) under uncultured bacterium. RNAcentral describes it as "partial 16S ribosomal RNA". It matches the Rfam family "Bacterial small subunit ribosomal RNA", at positions 28 to 507 of the family's 1533-position model. The record is from RNAcentral.